RNAcentral lists this ribosomal RNA (253 nucleotides) under uncultured bacterium. RNAcentral describes it as "partial 16S ribosomal RNA". It matches the Rfam family "Bacterial small subunit ribosomal RNA", at positions 524 to 776 of the family's 1533-position model. The record is from RNAcentral.
UACGGAGGAUGCAAGCGUUAUCCGGAAUUAUUGGGCGUAAAGCGUCCGCAGGUGGUUAUACAAGUCUGCUGUCAAAGCGCAAGGCUCAACCUUGUAAAGGCAGUGGAAACUGUGUGACUAGAGAGUGAUAGGGGCAGAGGGAAUUCCCAGUGUAGCGGUGAAAUGCGCAGAUAUCAGGAGGAACACCAAUGGCGAAGGCAGCUCGCUGGGACGGUACUGACGCUGAGACGCGAAAGCGUGGGGAGCAAACAGG